Molecule: long non-coding RNA, 1063 nt
Organism: Sitodiplosis mosellana (orange wheat blossom midge)
Lineage: Eukaryota; Metazoa; Arthropoda; Insecta; Diptera; Cecidomyiidae
Exons: 2
Source: RefSeq, a predicted model, not a curated record
UCAAAAACAGUUCAACUUGUCAACUUCUGUAUCUAUUUAAAAGAAUUACUUAAAAUUCAUCAGAAUUCAAAAUCCCAUCAUUUCGCCUGUAUUUAUAUAGCCUCAUGAAUACCGAAUGGGCGGGCGCCGGUCUGCAUUUAGGCGCUUAAAAACUCGCUCAACAAACUCUGCAGCCGUAUCGUCUAUUUGCUUGUCUAUAAUAUUUCACCGCAGCUGCAGUAAGCUGUGCAAAUACCUUGACUGAAAUUUGCGUUUGAAAGACGAACAAAAUAAAAGCACAAUCUUGUGCUCAGUCAACAUCACUGAAUUUGUUUUGCAUUUUAGAACUAAAACUGUACACUGAAAAAAAGUGAAUCGAUUGGCCGUUUGACUUCGAAUCUAAAUCUGUAAGAAUUGCUUAAAACAUAACGAGAAUGUAAGCAAAACGAGUUUUUCGUGUGCGAUUGCGAGAGAGUGAGAAUCUCGAUUGGUAGCAGUCACAGCACAGUAAACUCAUUUUGGAUGUACACAUCAUGAUUUCGAUGUGACUCUUUUUUUAGUAGGUUGAAUUAUGCUGUAAAAGUUGAAAUUAUGAAGCAAAGAGAAAUAGAUUGUAGCCGGUAUGCAUGGUGUAUGUUGUGUAAAAAGUACACGCAACAUCGAUCUGAAUAUGUAUACGUAUCGAUUUGUGUGUGUGUGUGUAUCUUAACGCAUGAUUUGUGUUGCGGACGGUCGUUCAAUCGUUCGUUCUCAUUGACGUGGUGCAUUGAGAAUCGGUGUGUGACCAGCGAUCGAAUAUCGCAUAUGUUUCACAGUUUGUUUUGUCAAUUGUAAACGAGUGGUUUGGUUUAAGUGUUGUUUGUCUUUUUGUUCAGUGUUGUGUUGUCACAAGUCAAUAUAAUAUAGAGCACGUGCAUUUGACGCUAAAAAGACAAGAUAACAAUACGACAAAAAAUUAUCGCCGCAAACGAAAUUGUAUUUAAGCGAAUACAGGCUCUUCGUUAGCCAUUCAUUUGGAAUUCAGUCUUUACAGUAGCAACCAUUUCGACAAAUUCAUUAAUUCGACAUUUUUUUAAUAAAGUAA